GGGGCAGUAGCUCAGUUGGGAGAGCGUCUCGUUCGCAACGAGAAGGUCGGCGGUUCGACUCCGCUCUGCUCCA
RNAcentral lists this transfer RNA (73 nucleotides) under candidate division Zixibacteria bacterium RBG-1. It matches the Rfam family "tRNA". Rfam says of the family: Transfer RNA (tRNA) molecules are approximately 80 nucleotides in length. Their secondary structure includes four short double-helical elements and three loops (D, anti-codon, and T loops). Further hydrogen bonds mediate the characteristic L-shaped molecular structure. tRNAs have two regions of fundamental functional importance: the anti-codon, which is responsible for specific mRNA codon recognition, and the 3' end, to which the tRNAs corresponding amino acid is attached (by aminoacyl-tRNA synthetases). tRNAs cope with the degeneracy of the genetic code in two manners: having more than one tRNA (with a specific anti-codon) for a particular amino acid; and 'wobble' base-pairing, i.e. permitting non-standard base-pairing at the 3rd anti-codon position. RNAcentral also lists the same sequence under 1 other name. The record is from Rfam by way of RNAcentral. Lineage: Bacteria; Pseudomonadati; Candidatus Zixiibacteriota.